RNAcentral lists this ribosomal RNA (468 nucleotides) under uncultured bacterium. Its description in RNAcentral is "partial 16S ribosomal RNA". It matches the Rfam family "Bacterial small subunit ribosomal RNA", at positions 28 to 507 of the family's 1533-position model. The record is from RNAcentral.
GACGAACGCUGGCGGCGUGCUUAACACAUGCCAGUAGAACGGAAAGGCCCUGCUUUUGUGGGGUGCUUGAGUGGCGAACGGGUGAGUAACACGUGAGUAACCUGCCCUUGACUUUGGGAUAACUUCUGGAAACUGUGGCUAAUACCGGAUAGGAGCUCCUGCUGCAUGGUGGGGGCUGGAAAGUUUCGGCGGCUGGGGUUGGACGUGCGGCUUAUCAGCUUGUUGGUGGGGUAGUGGCUUACACAGGCGUGGGCGGGCAGCCGGCCUGAGAGGGUGACCGGCCACAGUGGGCCUGGGGAGGGGGCAGGACGGCAACGGGGGGAAGCGGUGGAAAAUAUUGCGCACUGGGCGGAGGCCGUAUGGAGCGUCGCCGGGUGGGGGAGGUCUGUCGUCGGGGUAGAAACCGUGUGCGCGUGUGACGAAGCGAGUGUGACGGUAAUUGGUAAGGAAGCACCGGCUAACUACGUG